RNAcentral lists this long non-coding RNA (249 nucleotides) under Elaeis guineensis (African oil palm). RNAcentral describes it as "long non-coding RNA (EGUI_LNC011846)". Lineage: Eukaryota; Viridiplantae; Streptophyta; Magnoliopsida; Arecales; Arecaceae. The record is from RNAcentral.
AUAUACUCAGGGGUGGGUGCAGGGCAGACGAUUUUCAAACAAACUCUUCAUUCAUUAGAUAGAGAAGAUCGUCAAAAUUUCGUGAUCCGCUGCCGAACCUAUUCAAUUCCAAUAGCUCAGACUUGGAUUGUGGAGAUCGUUGGAAUAUUUCAUAUCAACAAAUAAGAUACUCGGUAUAUCAAUAUUGAUUCGAUCACUCGAUUAUUAUCAAACUAACUGCAAUCUUUUUCUAUCUAUAAGGAUCCCACC